AGCGGCGCGGGCUCGCUGGGACCGCUGAACAGCGGGGUCCAGUCUGGGGGCGUCAGUGACCGCCGUGUAGGGUGGGGGCGCUGGGGUCGACGGGAGAACUACUGAGUUGGGGGCUACAGAGCUGGGAUGUCCGCCCCCGGGCUGCGCCCAGCGUGGGGGGAGGGGGCGGCGCGACUCCCCCCCUACCCCCUUUGGCUUGGGCUGAGGGGAGGGGCUGCGCUCGGCCAGAGCAAUGAGCACAGUGCCUGGCGCGCAGCGAGCCCUCAAACUAUCCCGGCCUUGAUUGCAACUCCAGCGCGGGGAGAAAACAGGAAAGGGAGUGAUAACUGGGCUGACAGAGGCUAACUGCCAUUAUUAAGCAUCCAGGCUGGCCAGGCGCCGUCACCACCCUUUCCUUCCCGCGGUGGCAGCCUUGGCACACAGGGCGCACGUGUGUCCUAGGAUUGUGAAAGAGGCAGAGCUGGGAUGCGAACCUGGGCCAUUUGGCUCUUGCCGGCUGCGCUAGGCUGAGGAAAACGCGUUCUUGAACCAGCCUUUGAAGAUUGAGAAGGUUUGAUGGGUGGAGAUAACUGAGCGAGCUCUGCCCCAGUUCGCUGUAAGACCUUGGGAAGUCGUUUGAUCUUUGAGGGCCAUACUUUCCUCCGACGUGAAAAUAGCUGGACUUACGAAGACUGAGAACUAAUAUGUUCACCUUCUAGCAAAUUACUGGAAGGAACAUGAGAAAUAUCCAUCUACAAGUUCUGACUGAACUACUUCUCGCCACAAAACAUAUCCCGAUAUGUCCACUUUUCUGCAUUCCCACUGCUACCAUCCCGGUCCAGUUCAUGACUGGCUUUCUCCCAGACUACUCCAAAGACCUCCUAAAUCACUGGCCUAGGGUGACUCUUCGACCAAAUGAUGGAUAUCUACUGAAGCAAAGAGCCAGGUGUGUGAUUAGGGCAGAAAUGUUUAUAUAUGCUGAGUGAAAUUUUGCUAGCUGACUUAUACCCUAGCAAUUACUGAUUUGAGUGGGGAAUAUUUAAGACCCUCUGUGGUUCUGCAACUAUGUGUUGAGGUGCUCUGAGGCAUGGCAGGGACCUCUCAGGGGUGCUGAGGGAUAUUUUAAAAUCUAGUGUGUUGGUUUGCCGGGCUCCCCUAACAAAUUACCAGGACUGUAUGGCUUCAACAACACAGUCCUGGAGGCUAGCAGUCCAAGAUCAAGGUGUCAGCAAGUUUCAUUUCUUCCAAAGCCUCUCUCUUUGGCUUGCAGAUGGCUGUCUUCUUGCUGUACCUGAAGUGGUCUUUCUUUUGUGUGGGCAUAUCCGUGUUCUAAUCUCCUCUUAUAAGGGCACCAGUCAUAUUGGAUUAGGACCCACCCAUAUGACCUCAUUUUACCUUAAUUACCUCCUUAAUAGCCCUGUCUCCAAAUACAGUCAUAGUCGGAGGUCCUGGGGGUUAGGACUUCAACAUGAAUGAAUUUGAAGAGGGGACACCAUUCAGCCUGUAACACGGUGCCGCCUGAUGCUGCACAGACUGCUGGCUUGAGGCAGUUUCAGCGCUGGCUCACACUGCAUUCCUUCUGAUAAUGUCUUAUAUUUGCCAAGCCGAGGUUUUGGAGGUUGUUGUGAUAAAAAGCAAGUACCGUGUGUAAGUCAAUAUGGAAGAGGAAAAGAGAGUGGGGUGUCCAGUCUGAUUUCGAGGUUUGAGACAGUGUGCGGCGCCCAAAAGGCACUAAAUUGUUAGGACAUAAACACUUACUGAGUUUGGGGCUUCCCUGAUGGCGCAGUGGUUAAGAAUCUGCCUGCUAAUGCAAGGGACAUGGGUUGGAGCCCUGGUCCAGAAAG
This is a long non-coding RNA of Aethalodelphis obliquidens (Pacific white-sided dolphin), 1823 nucleotides long. RefSeq lists it as uncharacterized. The transcript has 3 exons. NCBI's taxonomy places the organism in Eukaryota, Metazoa, Chordata, Mammalia, Artiodactyla, Delphinidae. The record is from RefSeq and is a predicted model, not a curated record.